This 988-nucleotide ribosomal RNA is filed under the name Operculina sp. (in: forams). RNAcentral describes it as "SSU rRNA". It matches the Rfam family "Eukaryotic small subunit ribosomal RNA", at positions 1160 to 1788 of the family's 1831-position model. The record is from RNAcentral. Lineage: Eukaryota; Foraminifera; Rotaliida; Nummulitidae.
AAGGGCACCACAAGAACGCGUGGAGCAUGUGGCUUAAUUUGACUCAACGCGGGAAAUCUUACCGGGUCCGGACACACUGAGGAUUGACAGGUAUUAUUGUAUAUCACCACUCUUACAUGUUGUGGUAUACAUGUUAAAUAUGCUAGUCCUUUCAUGAUUAUGUGAUAGGUGGUGCAUGGCCGUUCUUAGUUCGUGGAGUGAUCUGUCUGCUUAAUUGCGUUUCACUAAGGGCCUAUAAAUUUACGUAUGUUGCGGCACUUUGACCCCUCUUAAUUGAGCGCGUGUCUUUGUUUGCUUAGCUCAUACAAUUAGGUCCUGAAAGCAACGAACGUGACCGCAACCUCUUGUUACCUUUAUACCAAACACGUUGCAGUAAUAAUUUUAUUACCUUGCUUCGUGCAAAAAGGCCUUUUAAACUAGAGGGACCGCUGUUACUUUCUUAAACCAGAGGAAGGUUGCGGCAAUAACAGGUCUGUGAUGCCCUUAGAUGUUCCGGGCUGCACACGUGCUACAAUGAUUAUUGCAGUGAGCAUCUCAUUUUUACACACCGCAUGCGCGAGUCUAUUUAUUCACCAUUUUGUGUGCUUUAAAUAUGUAUCUCUGCGCGCGGUAAAGCCUGCUUCGAAAGUAAGUGGGUAAUCAAUUAGAAGUAAUGAUUUCCUUAUAUAGCACACAUAUAUACGGCAUCUUUACCCGGCCUGCCUUGUUGCAGGUUCUUGUGUGUAUUGAUGUUUUUUCCGUAUGUGCGAUUGUCAAUUCAUGGUGGGGACAGACCAUUGUUAAUUGUUGGUCUCGGUCUUAACUAGGAAUGCCUUGUACGGGUCUUUGGUUCAACAAACCACCCGGAAUACGUCCCUGCCCUUUGUACACACCGCCCGUCGCUCUUACCGAUGGACUUCUCUGUGAGUUUGAGGGACUGGGAACGCAUAUCUCUAUAUGCACACCUAUGGAAACUUAAACGAACAGUGUGGUCUAAAGGAAAGAGAAG